GAAUAAGUAAGCUAAAUAAAGCUAUUGGGCUCAUAACCCAACAAUAGAUUUCGUCUCUUUUUCA
Molecule: transfer RNA, 64 nt
Filed under: Berthellina sp. TLT-2006
Lineage: Eukaryota; Metazoa; Mollusca; Gastropoda; Pleurobranchida; Pleurobranchidae
Description: tRNA-Met
Source: RNAcentral